GACGAACGCUGGCGGCGUGCUUAACACAUGCAAGUCGAACGGAAAGGCCCUGCUUUUGUGGGGUGCUCGAGUGGCGAACGGGUGAGCAACACGUGAGUAACCUGCCCUUGACUUUGGGAUAACUUCAGGAAACUGGGGCUAAUACCGGAUAGGAGCUCCUGCUGCAUGGUGGGGGUUGGAAAGUUUCGGCGGUUGGGGAUGGACUCGCGGCUUAUCAGCUUGUUGGUGGGGUAGUGGCUUACCAAGGCUUUGACGGGUAGCCGGCCUGAGGGGGUGACCGGCCACAUUGGGACUGAGAUACGGCCCAGACUCCUACGGGAGGCAGCAGUGGGGAAUAUUGCACAAUGGGCGGAAGCCUGAUGCAGCAACGCCGCGUGCGGGAUGACGGCCUUCGGGUUGUAAACCGCUUUCGCCUGUGACGAAGCGUGAGUGACGGUAAUGGGUAAAGAAGCACCGGCUAACUACGUGCCAGCAGCCGCGGUGAUACGUAGGGUGCGAGCGUUGUCCGGAUUUAUUGGGCGUAAAGGGCUCGUAGGUGGUUGAUCGCGUCGGAAGUGUAAUCUUGGGGCUUAACCCUGAGCGUGCUUUCGAUACGGGUUGACUUGAGGAAGGUAGGGGAGAAUGGAAUUCCUGGUGGAGCGGUGGAAUGCGCAGAUAUCAGGAGGAACACCAGUGGCGAAGGCGGUUCUCUGGGCCUUUCCUGACGCUGAGGAGCGAAAGCGUGGGGAGCGAACAGGCUUAGAUACCCUGGUAGUCCACGCUGUAAACGGUGGGUACUAGGUGUGGGGUCCAUUCCACGGGUUCCGUGCCGUAGCUAACGCUUUAAGUACCCCGCCUGGGGAGUACGGCCGCAAGGCUAAAACUCAAAGGAAUUGACGGGGCCCCGCACAAGCGGCGGAGCAUGCGGAUUAAUUCGAUGCAACGCGUAGAACCUUACCUGGGUUUGACAUGGAUCGGGAGUGCUCAGAGAUGGGUGUGCCUCUUUUGGGGUCGGUUCACAGGUGGUGCAUGGCUGUCGUCAGCUCGUGUCGUGAGAUGUUGGGUUAAGUCCCGCAACGAGCGCAACCCUUGUUCACUGUUGCCAGCACGUUAUGGUGGGGACUCAGUGGAGACCGCCGGGGUCAACUCGGAGGAAGGUGGGGAUGACGUCAAGUCAUCAUGCCCCUUAUGUCCAGGGCUUCACGCAUGCUACAAUGGCUGGUACAGAGAGUGGCGAGCCUGUGAGGGUGAGCGAAUCUCGGAAAGCCGGUCUCAGUUCGGAUUGGGGUCUGCAACUCGACCUCAUGAAGUCGGAGUCGCUAGUAAUCGCAGAUCAGCAACGCUGCGGUGAAUACGUUCCCGGGGCU
RNAcentral lists this ribosomal RNA (1346 nucleotides) under uncultured bacterium. RNAcentral describes it as "partial 16S ribosomal RNA". It matches the Rfam family "Bacterial small subunit ribosomal RNA", at positions 28 to 1381 of the family's 1533-position model. The record is from RNAcentral.